AAUUUUUAGUAGAUCUUUCAAGUCUUUAGAAUUUCUUUUGAAUAAAAAUAAUAAAAUAAUCCUGGAACAGAAGAGAAAGCCCAACAGAAGUUAAAAAACUAGAACAAAAUAAGGCCCAACAGAUAGAGGCCUUCGAAACAGAAAAAUGAAAAACAAAACAAAAGGAAAUUUAAACCCUAUCUAGUCAAAGAAAAGAAGUGACACUCAUUCCACUUUCUAAAAAACUCUUUUUUCCUAUCGGUUGUAGUUCCCUAAAGCACUCCUCCAUUAUGCCUAGAUUCCCCCAUCUAGCAUCUCCUUCAGUGAUUUGAAGGUCUCCGAAGACUCUCAGUCAGGCUCUCGUUCUCUUUGCCUUCCAGAACCCAAUGUUUCUAUGGCAUAAGAAGGCAUAGAUCCUUGAAGUAAACCUCUUCUUCUCUCUUGAGACUUUCUGUUGCGAUUACAUAGGUUAUCUGGUUCGCUAGUCUUAAAAUAUGCUUGAAUCGGAUGCUUUGAAAACGUCUUUGUACUUCUAACUGUCUCUUAUGUAAGCUCCUAUCUCUAAUUUAUCUACCAUGUUGGUCUGACAUUUAUUUAUUACUGUUAAUGCAUCGCCUUCAAUUUCGACUAAAUCCACUCCUAUGCUUAUCCCAAAUCUUACUGUUUAAGAACAUGCACAAGCCUAUUAGUGAACGAAAAACCAACCUUCCUCUCAAGUGACGAUUUUGAGACUAAGACCUUCCCGCUAUCAUCUCUAGCAAUCAAUCUUGAGGUCGAUCUAAACUGUUGAGAAUUAUAAGUCACAUCAAAUUUUAUUCGAAUAGUCUGGUUUUCUAAGAGCCACCAUUCAGAAACAGUACAUCGUUUGUGAAAGAAUAUUAAGAAAAUAACAGAGAAAUCUAAAAAAGAAGAGAAGGAGAAAUGCUCACGGUAAUGAUCUAUCUUACUUAUCUUUAAUUGGUUCACAUACAUGCUUAUAUAAGCAGAGGAAGCCUCAACUGCUAUUAAUAAUAUACCAACCUUAUCAACAAUAUACCAGCCUUUUGUAACUGCCUAACCACUUAGCUAAUUACACAUUAAACACAUGUGCAUAUAGAUACUAUAACAUUCAUCCAACGUCCUCAAGUGAGAUGACCUGAAGAAGAUGACAAAAUCGAGUAAACAUUGACACAGACAAUGGCUUAGUGAGAAUAUCUGCCACUUGGUCACAGGGGAACUUCACCAACAAUCAAGUCACCACUCGCCACCUUUUCCCGGACAAAAAACAGAUCAAGUUCAACAUGUUUGAACUUGGAGUGCAUAACCAGAUUAGCGGCAACAGCCACUGCACUAGAACUAUCACACCACACUACCGUAAGAUCAACUGAAUUAAGUUUUUAACUCUAUCAACAGAGAAACAAGCCAAGCAACAUCACUAGUGGUGGCUGCCAAACUACGAUAUUCAGCCUCUGCCGUAGAUCGAGAAACAACUUUUUGUUUCUUAGAACACCAAGAUAUAAGUGUAUGACCAAAGUACACACAGUAUCCCGUAGUAGCCGACGAUCAUCAAAAUCAAGUCCCCAAUUUGCAUCGGCAUAACCAAUCAAAGAUAGCCGCUCAGAUCGUUGAAAAAGCAACCCAUGAGAAAGAGUACCACAUAAGUAUCGAAGAAUACGUUUCAAUGCCGCCAUGUGGAGAUUAGUGGGAGCAUGCAUAAAUUGACACACCCUAUUAAUAUCAUAUGCAAUAUCAGGUCGAGUUGGAAUGAUAUACUGAAGAGCACCGGCAAGACUACAAUAUUCAGUUGGGUCAGCCAGACAGUCACCCUCAUCCUUUGAUAACACAGAAAAGGUUAUCAUUGGUGUAUUAACACUUUUGGAGUUUGACAUAGAACUUCGUUCAAGAAACUCUCGAAUGUAUUUGCGCUAACACAAGUGAAGAUUACCGGAGGAAGAUCUAUUGACUUCAAUCCCUCAAAAAUAAUGGAGAUCACCCAUAUCCUUUAAAGCAAACUUGUUAUGUAGCUGGUGAACAAAACAAUUUAUCUCGUCAGACGAAUUGCCAAUGAUAACAAUAUCAUCCAUAUAGACAAGCACAUACAGAGUGUGGUUAGAAGAAUAUCGAACAAACAAUGAAGCAUCUAAUUUUGAGAACAUAAACCUAGUAGAAACAAGAAAUUAUUUUAACUUGUCGAACCAAGCAAGAGGGGCUUCCCGUAGGCCAUAUAAAGCUUUAGUCAGAUGACACACUAGCUUUUCACCAUUCGAACCAUGUUGCACAAAACCUGGAGGUUGCUGCAUAAACACGUCAUCAGUUAGAUCGUCAUUCAGAAAGGAAUUAUUUACAUUAACUUGCCGAAGUGGCCAACCCUUGGUCACAGCAAUAGAGAGAAUGACACGAAUGGUAGCAGGCUUGAUUAUCGGACUGAACGUCUCCUUAAAGUCACAGCCAGGCCCUAAGAACAUCCCUUGGCCACCAACCGUGCUUUUUGAUGGUUAAUCGUCCCAUCAUGAUUCUUCUUUAUCUUAAACAACCACUUGCACCAAAUCGCCUUUUGACCAGGAGAGAGAGAGCAGACCCCCAUGUAGAGUUAGCGAUUAAAGCAUCAAAUUCAGCUUGAACAACUACACGCUAGUCUGGAUGAGCAAGAGCCUCCUCAACAAAAUGUGGCUCAACCUCAACACUAUCUGCACACAAAGCUUUAGGUUUAAAUAUACCAGCUUUGGACCGAGUAACCAUAGCAUGCGUAUUGGUGGUAGAGACAGUAGGAACAGGAACAUGCUCAAGAGAAGUGGCAGCAGUAGAAAAAUCCUCCUCUCUGACAACAGUCCUGGAGUUCAGUUGAGGAGCACUACACAUAGCAGAAGAAUCAUGCGGCUCAAUUCCAACAUUAGGACUUGCUAGAGAUACCCCAGUCGCAGGCUCAGGAUGCAGACGAGUUUCCCCAAUGGUACAAGAUCGAAUAACAGGAACAUACGUAGUAGUACCCAGAGACAUUGGAUCAUCAGUAGGCAAAGGGAACAGAAACAAAAAUCGAUUUUCAUCAAAAACAACAUGCCUAGAUACAAUUAUCUUACCAUCUGGCGUUAAACAAAAAUAACCUUUAUGAUGUGCGCUAUGCCCAAGAAACGUAGAUGGCUGUGACCGGUACUCAAGCUUGUGUUUAACAAACGGACAUAAAUAUGGAAAACAACAACAUCCAAAUACUCUGAGAUGUUCAUAAGAUGGUUCACGAUCAAACAAAACUUGAUACGGGGAUUGUCAAGAAUCACCAAACGACUGAUACCAUGUAAGAAUAUUAAGAAAAUAACAGAGAAAUCUAAAGAAGAAGAGAAUGAGAAAUGCUCACGGUAAUGAUCUAUCUUACUUAUCUUUAAUUGGUUCACAUACAUGCUUAUAUAAGCAGAGGAAGCCUCAACUGCUAUUAAUAAUAUACCAGCAUUAUCAACAAUAUACCAGCCUUUUGUAACUGCCUAACCGCUUAGCUAAUUACACAUUAAACACAUGUGCAUAUAGAUACUAUAACAGUUUGGUAGGAUUUUUAUCCCCUAUUGCAUCACUUUCCUGAAUAUAUCGAAAAAUUAUUUAUGAUAUUCCCCUUCUAGAACUGUUUUUACCCUCAUGAAUAUUUUUUCUCUUUUUAGUCCAAAUAACCUGAAGCGCGUAGUAGAAGAUAUGACAUUGGUGACCUGUUCCUCUUCUAAACACCCAGGUAAGCCAUUCCCAAUCUCCCAAAUUAGGCAUAGAUAAUACCUACACUAGAUUUAAAAGAUUCCAAACUUACAAGAAAUUCUCUAUAUACAUGUGUUGUGGUCUCCACUCCACCGCCACAUCUUGGACAUAUUGAAAUCGAUCUGAGCCUUUUGUAAUGUAGAUUUGCUAGAGUAGGUAAAAAUUUACAUGAAACUUUUCAUACUGUAAUUUUUUAUUUAGCUGUAAGACUGAGGUUCUAUAAUUUUCUGUAAAAAUGUUUCAUAUCAUUAUGUAAAUCAGUAGUAUUAGGAUCAUAAGUACUAUCAAGCAAAAAUUUGAACCUACUUUGAACCAAAAAAUCACCAGAAGACUCCCCCUCCAAACCAGCAUAUCUUCAUGUUCCAACGUGGCCAAGGGAAUUCGCAGGAUUCUACCAACAUCAAUGUGACAGCCCAGUUUAGACCCUAGUGAAAUAGUGGUUUUAGGACCAAAAAUUUGAGUCAAAAAAUAUUUUAAUAUUAUUUGUGGUGUCUAUAACAUGCUAAUUUAUAUGUGUGAAUUGUUUGUGAUUUAAUUUUAUCGUUUGAGUGUCCGAUUUAAUAAAAGGACUCAAUCGCGUAAAAUGUAAAGUGGCUAGCUAUUUAUUAAAGUGCUACAUUGCUAUUGUUUUUAUAAUGUGGAGUCCUUAAGAUGUAAUUUGACCUUUGGAAGCAUGCAUGGACAAAACUGGACAACCAUUAUUAAGUUAGUAUAUUAUUUCAUUAAGGUUAGCUUUGUAAAUUAAUUAAAUAUGAUAAUAUAAUAAAACAUAACAUGAAUAAAAAAUGGCAUUGUUCAUCUUUUCCCAUAGCUGAAACUUGAAAGAAAAAGAAAAGAAAAAGAUUUUUAGGUUUCGGCCAUGUCCAAGCUCAAUUAAGGUAUGUGUUUAGCUCAGUUUUUGAUAAUUUUUACGUUUUUGAGAUCGUUGCUUCGAAUACUAGCUAGCCCAUGCUUGAAUUUUUUAAUUUGAUGAUGUAUUGAUGAAUUUCCAUUGAUGAUAGCUUGUGAUUUUUUUGUUUGAUGAUGGAAAAUAAAAAUAUGUUAUUGGAUUAUUAUGUUUAAUUAAGUGAUUUUUGGUAAAAAUAUGUACUAAGGAUUAAUUGUGAAUUUUGUAAAUUGAGGGGUCAAAAUGUGAAAUAAAUGAAAGAUUUGGGCUCAUAUGAACUCCAUGAAAAUUCAGUUAAGCAUGAAAAAUGUGAAAUUAUGUGUAUUUUGUGAUUUUGUGAAUUAUGGACUUAAAUGUCAAAAUGUAAAAAUAUGAGGGCUAAUUUGUAAAAUGCCCUAAAUAUGUGUUUAUGGAUUAAUUUGAAUGAAUGUGAGAUUGACUAAGUCAAAAUUUAAUGUGAUUAGAUCAAGAACCGAAGAAAAUGAGAUUAGAUUGGGGGAAAUUGAAAUCAUUGAAUAGCCGUUUAUUUUUGUCCGAAUCCUUACGAGGUAAGUUCAUAAGUAAAUAAAUGUCAUUAAAUUAAAUUGUAUAUAUAUUAUUUGUGCCGAAUUGAAUUAUUACUUGUAUAUAUAUAUUCAAGCUGAAUUUGUAUAAGCAUGGGAGAAAUAUAUAUACGAGAUGGAAUUGUUUGGUUUACGACAUCCGAAAGCCCCGUACGAACCUUAGGAAUAGUUAGGAUACAUAUGUCAUGACAUAGGAUUCUGAUAUGUGAUUUCGUGUAAGGCCACGUCUGGGACGUUGGAAUCGAUAUGUGAUUUACGUUUAAGACCCUGUCUGGGACAAUGGCAUCGAUAUGUGAUUACAUGUAAGACCACGUCUAGGAUGUUGGCGUUGUAGGAGCUUUUUGUCUAUCCGAGUAUCCUUAUUAAUUCUGAAUGGUUCCACGGGUAAUAUCGAGUAAUGAUCGAAUGUGAAAUCGAGCUAAGAGGUCAGGUAUGUGCUAAGUUAAAUGAUUGGGAAAAUAAGGUAAGUGUGUACUUGUGAUAUAUAUAUAUGAAAUAUGCAUUAUAAAUGUGAGAAUUAUAUAUGCUUAUGAGUACAUGUACAUUUGGCCAUUGAUAUUAAAAUGUUAAUGUUUAUGAAAUAUGUUUGAGUUUGCAAGCAUGAUACAUGUACAUUUGGUUAAGGUUUGUUUGGUUCGGUCUAGUUUAAUUGAAUUAUAUAUGUCAUUAAAAUGAAUUAUUUGCUUAUGACUAACUAAGCUAUUUAAGCUUACUGUGUGAGUGUUUGUUCAUUGUUUUAUAGAUUUUUGAAAGCUGGUUACGAGCUCGAGGAUCAUCAAGGAAAUUUAUCACACUAUCGAUCGUUAUUUCGG
Molecule: long non-coding RNA, 5951 nt
Filed under: Gossypium barbadense (sea-island cotton)
Lineage: Eukaryota; Viridiplantae; Streptophyta; Magnoliopsida; Malvales; Malvaceae
Description: long non-coding RNA (GBAR_LNC001399)
Source: RNAcentral